RNAcentral lists this ribosomal RNA (504 nucleotides) under uncultured bacterium. RNAcentral's name for it is "partial 16S ribosomal RNA". It matches the Rfam family "Bacterial small subunit ribosomal RNA", at positions 30 to 523 of the family's 1533-position model. The record is from RNAcentral.
AUUGAACGCUGGCGGCAUGCCUUACACAUGCAAGUCGAACGGCAGCAUGGAGAGCUUGCUCUCUGAUGGCGAGUGGCGAACGGGUGAGUAAUGCAUCGGAACGUACCGUGUAAUGGGGGAUAACGUAGCGAAAGUUACGCUAAUACCGCAUACGACCUGAGGGUGAAAGCAGGGGAUCGCAAGACCUUGCGUUAUACGAGCGGCCGAUGUCAGAUUAGCUAGUUGGUGAGGUAAAGGCUCACCAAGGCGACGAUCUGUAGCGGGUCUGAGAGGAUGAUCCGCCACACUGGGACUGAGACACGGCCCAGACUCCUACGGGAGGCAGCAGUGGGGAAUUUUGGACAAUGGGGGCAACCCUGAUCCAGCCAUGCCGCGUGAGUGAAGAAGGCCUUCGGGUUGUAAAGCUCUUUCGGCCGGGAAGAAAUCGCACAGGCUAAUACUCUGUGUGGAUGACGGUACCGGCAGAAGAAGCACCGGCUAACUAUGUGCCAGCCGCCGCAGUAA